Molecule: non-coding RNA, 54 nt
Organism: Salmo salar (Atlantic salmon)
Lineage: Eukaryota; Metazoa; Chordata; Actinopteri; Salmoniformes; Salmonidae
Source: Rfam
CACAUACACUACUGUAAGUCACUUUGGAUAAAGGCGUCUGCUAAAUGGGAUAUA